GUGCUUGCUUCAGCUGCAUGUAUACUAAAAUUGGAAAGAUACAGAGAAGAUUAGCAUGGCCCCUGUACAAGGAUGACAAGCAAAUUCGUUAAGUGCUCCAUAUUUUU
Molecule: small nuclear RNA, 107 nt
Organism: Cebus imitator (Panamanian white-faced capuchin)
Lineage: Eukaryota; Metazoa; Chordata; Mammalia; Primates; Cebidae
Source: Ensembl